GUGGGUAUAGCUCAGUGGUAGAGUGCGUGCUUAGCAUGCGCAAGGUCCUGGGUUCAAUUCCCAGUACCUCA
Molecule: transfer RNA, 71 nt
Filed under: Camelus bactrianus (Bactrian camel)
Lineage: Eukaryota; Metazoa; Chordata; Mammalia; Artiodactyla; Camelidae
Also listed under: 1 other name
Rfam family: tRNA
About the family: Transfer RNA (tRNA) molecules are approximately 80 nucleotides in length. Their secondary structure includes four short double-helical elements and three loops (D, anti-codon, and T loops).
Source: Rfam by way of RNAcentral